Long non-coding RNA from Vicia villosa (hairy vetch), 3273 nucleotides. RefSeq lists it as uncharacterized. The transcript is spliced from 3 exons. NCBI's taxonomy places the organism in Eukaryota, Viridiplantae, Streptophyta, Magnoliopsida, Fabales, Fabaceae. The record is from RefSeq and is a predicted model, not a curated record.
UUUUCUCUCUCUAAAAUUUGAGAAACACGUGUAUUUUCUCUCUCUCUCCAAGUUUUCAGAAAUUCGUACCACACUUCUACACAACACAAUCUCGCUCUUGCGAAAACAGAACGAAAUUCAAAAUCCCAAUCUUUCCUUUGCAUCAAUGGCUUCCACCGAAGAAACCCUACGCAAAAUCCAACAAACUCUCCGCCGUCAAAAUCCAAGGCAACACCGUCCGUUCACUCAAGGCUUCAUCGGCACCUAAACCUGACGUCGAAGCCGCCGUUCAAGCCCUAAGCACUCAAAUUUGAGAAAUCGUCGAUCGAGAAAUCACUUCAAUCGUUACUCUCUGGCUCUGGUUCUCGUGAAGCCUUCCGUCAAUCCGUUGUUAAUACGUUUGAAAGGCGAUUGUUAUAUAUUUCGUCGUUUAAGAUUUAUUGCGGUGUUGCUGGUCUAUAUGGUUAUGGUUCUCCAAUGUCCUAUCCUUCUGGAAUCAGGUGAAUUGUUAAUGCUUACAAAGCAGUUAGCUAACUAAUUGUGGAUUUAUCAAAUUAAUUUUUGUGCAACAAAGAAUGAAAUGUGAUUAUGAGCUGAAUUUCGUUAGAUUAUGAGCUGAGUUUUGUUAGAUUAGGAGCUCGAUUUUGUUAGACUAGGAGCUGAAUUUUGUUAGAUUAGGAGCUCAAUUUUGUUUGGAUUGAAUUAUUUGAGCUUAUUUUCUCUCAGUGAGAAGGGGGAGAAUUCUUGAAAAAAGCUAUAGUAGAAGCAAUUUAGGAUCUGUUUGGAUUGAUUUAUUUUAAGCUUAUCUAGUGCAUAAGCACUUGUUAACUAUUAGGGGAUCGUAAUGAUUUUAGACCUUAUUUUUGCAGGGGAAUGAUUUAUACAUUGCUGGAUAAAAUAUAAUAAUUUUCAGUAUAUAUUGAUAUUUUCAUGCUUCAGUUAGUACUUGGCCAACUCAAAACUACUUCAUAAAUCCCACUCUUAAUUCUUGAACAAUGUGUAUUACUAUGUUUCAAUGGAAAUCACACCAUUAAGGUUGGAUGCUUUGUUUCUUAACAUAUUCAAUGCUAUUCAUCAUUUAAAUGGUUUGACAAUUUAUGUGCAAAAAUCAUAGAGUAAAGUUCCUUUGUAUUCAAUGGAUGCAAGCUAUUCAUUCUUGCAGCAAUAUGAAAUAUCAAUUGCAAGGUAGUAUUGGUUCCAUAUUCCUUUACAUGUGAUUCUUAUUUUGGAAAAUAUAAAUACAUUAGUCAUCACUUAUUUAAAUUUUGAUCAAACAAAAUUAGAAUGCAUAAUAGAAAAUGCAAGGAAUUUACCAGAUACUGCAACCUCUCCAUCCAUGAAAUAGAAAGGGUUAGAGAAUGUUAGUGUGUCAGAGGUACUAAUGAGAAAAAGGGGAAGUACUCAUCAACCAUGGACAUUUACAUCAUGAAAGAAAUUUUCUCUCUAUAGUCAUUUCUAUUUCUGAGGUAAACUGAAUAUCUUAGCUCUCAAUCCAAUACUAGAUACUACUUCCUAGUUAUCAUAAUUUUAUCUUUGUCACCGAGUUUUUCAUAAAGAGGUUUUGGGAAGACAUGAUGAUGCUAUUAUCAAAAAAGUAUUGGAAACAAACCAUAAUGAUUUAAGAAAACUACACAUCUCUAUAAAGAUAUGGAUUAUAGUCUAAUUAAAAGAGAACUUUUAGAAAGCUUUAAUUCUGUUUAUUUUUCUCCUGUCAUAGUAGUUAUUUUAGGUAUAUAAGCUGCAGUGUAAUAGUACUACAUCUAUUGAUUUUGAAUAGUCAAGUGAUUGUGCUCAUUAGAACCUUUAGGUAAUGUACUACCUCUUGCAGUGUGUUAUAGGAGACGACGAUCCCGUGUGCUGCAUUUUGGGCUCAUCUUCACAACAUUGAGCGUGCAUAUCAUAUGAUAAAACACUUGAUUAUCUUGGUGUACCUAGAGUGCAAAAUUGGUUUCAAAAAAGCCACACCUAUUUCUCUUGUUGUUUUUGUUAUUGUUCUUGUUCUUGUUUAGGGUUUGCCUAUUGCGGAAGCCACACCUAUGUACUAGCAAAUUCUGCAGUUAUUUCCAAGUGUUUUUGUUGACUCUUUUGAUUGUGUGCUGAAAAUAAAUACAUGGUUUUUGAUUCUUAUCCGAAAUUAUUGUACUUUUGUUGUUUCUUUAGUCGUUGUUUGUUGAACCGUCUUCAAGUUCCUCUCUGACAUGUCAUUUUCUGAUUCUUAUCCGAAAUUAUUGUACUUUUGUUGUUUCUUUCAUUUUCCUGGUACCCCUUGUAAAUAAUGUUGUUGUUUUAGUCUUUCACUUUGUUUCUUAUCCUUGCUUACAGCAGUGUUACAUUCCUUUCACUAGAAAGGUUAAUGACAAGAAGGGGAUAGAGGGUCAAAAAGAGACAAAAUCUUUAUAAUGAUGAGCUAAUAGUAGUAGACAUAUCAUCUGACCCUGUGUGGAUGGAAUGCAUAUCCUUUCUAAAAUCAUUGUCGAUGGCUCAUAUUUGUUUUUGAAGCCGGAUUAAAACGCUUUAUGCAUGAGCCAGUCUAUAUUCUCGAGCGAGUUCUACUUUCUCCCAUCUCUGAUUAAUCUUGUCAUUUAACUCCUCCAAAAAUCUUAUACUGCUUGUUGUUUUUAACGAUGUUUCAGAUAUGUUGAUUUCUUUACCCGUUUGAACAAUGACCAAAAUAUACAUGCUUUAUUUGAGAAGGCAUUGAGUUCACUUCCUCUGGAGAAAUAGUUGAGUUAACGAUACACUGUUAAUGCUGAUAAGGGAUCUAUUGCAAACAUUUCUAAUACGUCGCCAAAGGUUGUCUAUCUUGAUACUUCAAAGAUGUUGACAUACGAUCCGAAGCAGAAUCCAGGUACAGCUGAUGGGACAUGCAUUCGAUGAAAUUUUUAAAGCUACACUGCGUGCAUUCGUUGCAUUUUUAGAAAACCCACCCACAGACCACAGUAAUUUUCAAUUUUUGCUUACAUGAUAAUAUUCAAACUCUGCCAAGCCUUCAUAAGAUUGAGAUUUUUUCUUCAGUUUGCCAUUAACUCCUAUGUUGGUUUGUAAAUCUUGCAAAGAACCCGAUACUAUCCCAAGCUUUGGGUUAUUUUUAUUUAAAUAAUUAGGUAAGAUCUCUAGUGGGUCAAGGUGAUUUCAUGUUGUAUCUUUGCCAGGCUGCUUCUGCCAAACCUCAUACAGUAAAAGAAAGAAAAAAUAUUAAUAAAUAAUAAUUGUGGCCUUGCUUUCAGCAUUUAUUUCAUGUGUUUAAAAUACUAGAUUUUGGCUUCCCCCUUCCCUUAUGAAUGUUGAUGUAUG